Molecule: ribosomal RNA, 496 nt
Filed under: uncultured bacterium
Lineage: Bacteria
Description: partial 16S ribosomal RNA
Rfam family: Bacterial small subunit ribosomal RNA
Source: RNAcentral
AUUGAACGCUGGCGGAAUGCUUUACACAUGCAAGUCGAACGGUAGAGGGGGCAACCCCUCGAGAGUGGCGAACGGGUGAGUAAUAUAUCGGAACGUGCCCAGUCGUGGGGGAUAACGUAGCGAAAGUAACGCUAAUACCGCAUACGAUCUAAGGAUGAAAGCGGGGGAUCGCAAGACCUCGCGCGAUUGGGGCGGCCGAUAUCAGAUUAGGUAGUUGGUGGGGUAAAGGCUCACCAAGCCAACGAUCUGUAGCUGGUCUGAGAGGACGACCAGCCACACUGGAACUGAGACACGGUCCAGACUCCUACGGGAGGCAGCAGUGGGGAAUUUUGGACAAUGGACGCAAGUCUGAUCCAGCCAUUCCGCGUGCAGGAUGAAGGCCCUCGGGUUGUAAACUGCUUUUGUACGGAACGAAAAGGUCUCUCUUAAUACGGGGGACUCAUGACGGUACCGUAAGAAUAAGCACCGGCUAACUACGUGCCAGCCGCCGCCGUAA